UACGUAGGGUGCAAGCGUUGUCCGGAAUUAUUGGGCGUAAAGAGCUCGUAGGCGGUUUGUUGCGUCGGCUGUGAAAUCCCGAGGCUCAACCUCGGGUCUGCAGUCGAUACGAGCAAACUAGAGUGUUGCAGGGGAGACUGGAAUUCCUGGUGUAGCGGUGAAAUGCGCCAGAUAUCAGGAGGAACACCGGUGGCGAAGGCGGGUCUC
RNAcentral lists this ribosomal RNA (207 nucleotides) under uncultured bacterium. RNAcentral's name for it is "partial 16S ribosomal RNA". It matches the Rfam family "Bacterial small subunit ribosomal RNA", at positions 524 to 729 of the family's 1533-position model. The record is from RNAcentral.